GGGGAGCCAGUUAAGCCGACUGUGCUCUUUUCCCCAUGGGGGCCCAGUGUGCAAUGGCUGCAGACAGCAGCCUCCUUGGUUGUGUAUGCACCUGUUGCCUGUACAGGUUGCCCUAAGGGACCUUGGAGACAACU
Molecule: small nucleolar RNA, 134 nt
Organism: Bison bison bison
Lineage: Eukaryota; Metazoa; Chordata; Mammalia; Artiodactyla; Bovidae
Gene: SNORA70
Rfam family: Small nucleolar RNA SNORA70
About the family: snoRNA U70 seems to be exclusive to mammals and is a member of the H/ACA class of snoRNA which contain H (ANANNA) and ACA box motifs. H/ACA box snoRNAs are involved in the conversion of uridines to pseudouridines (5-ribosyluracil) a constituent of structural RNAs (transfer, ribosomal, small nuclear, and small nucleolar).
Source: Ensembl